UACGAAGGUGGCGAGCGUUGUUCGGAAUCACUGGGCUUAAAGAGCACGUAGGCGGGCUGCCAAGCGUCUUGUGAAAGCCCUCGGCUCAACCGAGGAAUGGCUUGGCGAACUGGCAGCCUUGAGGCAGGUAGGGGCACACGGAACUCUUGGUGGAGCGGUGGAAUGCGUAGAUAUCAAGAGGAACGCCGGUGGCGAAGGCGGUGUGCUGGGCCUGACCUGACGCUGAGGUGCGAAAGCCAGGGGAGCGAACGGGAUUAGAUACCCGCGUA
This 269-nucleotide ribosomal RNA is filed under the name uncultured prokaryote. RNAcentral's name for it is "partial 16S ribosomal RNA". It matches the Rfam family "Bacterial small subunit ribosomal RNA", at positions 524 to 792 of the family's 1533-position model. The record is from RNAcentral.